GGCCUGAUGGUCUAGUGGUAUGAUUGUUGCUUCGGGAGGAUAUCCCUGUCCGUACGGACAUCAUUGUGACAGGCCCCGGGUUCAAAUCCCGGUCAGGCCC
This 100-nucleotide transfer RNA is filed under the name Zymoseptoria tritici IPO323. RNAcentral describes it as "Zymoseptoria tritici tRNA-Pro for anticodon CGG". It matches the Rfam family "tRNA". From Rfam's summary of the family: Transfer RNA (tRNA) molecules are approximately 80 nucleotides in length. Lineage: Eukaryota; Fungi; Ascomycota; Dothideomycetes; Mycosphaerellales; Mycosphaerellaceae. The record is from RNAcentral.